UGUUGGAUUGUAUUUCACCAACAAGAAGGAAAAAAGGGCAAAAAACCCAUGACGGUGUAUUCCGUUGUAAAUACAAAUAUUUUAGGUAUAUAUUGAUUCUUUUUAUUCCAUGCACUAGGUACAUAACGAAAAUUCUGUGGGAUUUAUUCCUCUGUUGUCAUUUGAACUCUCUGGAACAUAAGAAAUGACGUAAUUUUUAAUGUUUAAUGUAUCUGUCUACACGUUGAUGCCCACAUUCUUAAGUUUCUUCUCUCCAACAAUAAUAACUAUCCUAUUGAAAUGGAGAUUUGAAAGUGUGAAUAGUGAAUAAUCAAACAUAUCAUGAGGGUUUGAUGGACCUGAUUAGAAACCAUUUGUAAUUUAUUAUUAAAAAGAAUGAUUGAUGUGAGAUGGUAUGCUUGAUGCCUUGUGUGAUAUGGUUGUGGUUGCUGGCCACUAGCUGAGUUCAAGCCAUAUUCUUGUGUUGGUAUACUUUAGGUUAAAAAAACCUUUCCUCCAGGUUUCAUGCCCUUUGAGUUUGAGGUCUGGUAAUUGUAAGGCAAUAGAAAUGUGUAUCUAGCAUAUAAGGCCUAUGUUGAAGUACAUAUUGUACAGAUUGAGCUCGAUUUCUUUGACACUGCCAGUUCGUCAACUGUAUCUCUGGUUUCUUGCUCUAACCCAAUAUGUGCUUCUGUAGUUCAAGCUGCAGCUGCAGAAUGCUCUUCACAGAGUAAUCAGUGUGAUGAUUCAUUUCAGUAUGGAGAUGGAAACGGGACAUCUGGUUAUUAUUGAACUGAUUUGUUGUAUGUAAAAUUUUUACACAAAUAUGGGGGCUUCUUUAGUCAAUAACUCUUCUGCUCCAGCUAUUUUUGGGUGUAGCACCUAUCAAUCUGGGAACUUAACGAAGAGGGAUAGAGUAAUUGAUGGGAUUGAGUAAUUGAUGGGAUUAUUAGGUUGGUCAACAGGAUCUGUCUGUCACAUCACAACUGGCAUCACGAGGGAUUACUCCUAACGUGUUCUCCCUUGAUAUUUGUGAUUUGAACCAUUUAUUUAAAUCAUACCCACCGAAGAGGCUUUUGUUUUAUUGUUCAGUGUUUUGUUUUGCAGCUAAGACUAAACAAAUAGUGGACUUACUGGACUAUAGAAUAUGGUUAUGUUGUCUCUUGUUCAUGAGUAAAGAAAUAUUAUAUGUAAUGGAUGUUGCUAUUCUCUGCUUCUAAAGAGUAAUCAUCCCCAUGGAAGGAGCAAUUUAUCAUGAUUACUCUAUUUGACUUGAGAUUGGUUUUUGAUGACAUUUGGAAGUAUACGUGCAAAUGAAGAUCAACUGUUGAAUUUUUUUUCCU
Camellia sinensis is the source of this 1322-nucleotide long non-coding RNA. RefSeq lists it as uncharacterized. NCBI's taxonomy places the organism in Eukaryota, Viridiplantae, Streptophyta, Magnoliopsida, Ericales, Theaceae. The record is from RefSeq and is a predicted model, not a curated record.